GUGGCGAGUGGCGAACGGGUGAGUAAUGUAUCGGAACGUGCCUAGUAGCGGGGGAUAACUACGCGAAAGCGUAGCUAAUACCGCAUACGCCCUACGGGGGAAAGCAGGGGAUCGCAAGACCUUGCACUAUUAGAGCGGCCGAUAUCGGAUUAGCUAGUUGGUGGGGUAACGGCUCACCAAGGCGACGAUCCGUAGCUGGUUUGAGAGGACGACCAGCCACACUGGGACUGAGACACGGCCCAGACUCCUACGGGAGGCAGCAGUGGGGAAUUUUGGACAAUGGGGGAAACCCUGAUCCAGCCAUCCCGCGUGUGCGAUGAAGGCCUUCGGGUUGUAAAGCACUUUUGGCAGGAAAGAAACGUCAUGGGCUAAUACCCCGUGAAACUGACGGUACCUGCAGAAUAAGCACCGGCUAACUACGUGCCAGCAGCCGCGGUAAUACGUAGGGUGCAAGCGUUAAUCGGAAUUACUGGGCGUAAAGCGUGCGCAGGCGGUUCGGAAAGAAAGAUGUGAAAUCCCAGAGCU
Molecule: ribosomal RNA, 525 nt
Filed under: Achromobacter spanius
Lineage: Bacteria; Pseudomonadati; Pseudomonadota; Betaproteobacteria; Burkholderiales; Alcaligenaceae
Description: bacterial SSU rRNA
Rfam family: Bacterial small subunit ribosomal RNA
Source: RNAcentral